UCAUUAGUCAGUACAGCCGCCCCUCUUGCCUCGUCUCUCCACCCUCUUCUCUCUUCACACCCUCUUCUCUAGACUCUAGUUAUCCUCGUCUCUGUGACAGUCUUCACUCUUCACCUCUGUUUUUGUUCACUCUUCGCCUCUCAAUCCAUCACCUCUCAAUCCAUUGUUGACCAGAUUCGAAGCAACGGCGACCUCUUCGUGUGUAUCUACCUCUUUUCCGUGAUGGAUCUUCUUAUUCUGGAAGACGACGCCGCCGACGGCCAUCCCGUGGCUGAACUGUAACUGUGUGGCUUCGGGCUCCACUGUGUACGCCAUCACGGAGGGUUCUCGUAUCUGUUCGGUGAACGCCGCCGAUCUCUUAGGUUGCUGGAGUGCGAUUCAGGCCAGUGCUAGUAAACCUUCAGUUUAUUUUCCUUCAAGAUAGGGAAUCCAUUGCCCUAACCCUUCCCAAGAUGUAAAGUUAAAGUUUUUCAUUGGAAAAUAGACCCAAAUGAAACUCUAUCUCGGAUUGAGGAGGUAUCAGUCCUCUCUCUAGUCUCUACCCUGCCCAAGGAUAAUGCCUCCUCAGUCAUCUGGUAUACUUGUUGGGGAGAAAGCUCGACGUGAAGUGAGUGAUAUCGGAAAAAUAUUGAUUCUUUUUGAAUUCUAUGUAUGUGAUCACAAAAUGUGGGAUCUUGGUGUUCUGGGUUGCUGCUAACUUCUAAUGCACUAUAAAACUCAUAAGAUGGGGAACUUGUCAGCAAGGCAUAUCCAUGCAUGCCAAAUAUGGAGAGUAUCUGGUGAUCCAGAACCAAAUUACCCACCCCGCCCUAAUAUCAAAAAUUACUCUGGCAACCCUUGUUGCAAUUGCCUAGAGCACCACACUGAUUUUCCUUGUGAAUACUGCGGAAAUGAGUUCAGUACAAUUGAAGACAGAAAACUCAAUUACGAAAUGAUGUGGGAUGCUUGGAACGAGUGGAAGGACGAACAUGGAUACUGAAUAUAUAUAUAUAUAUAUAUAUAUAUGGUAAAUUGUGGUCUAGUCUUUUGGAUAUGAUUAUGUUGAUAUAGGAAGAAUAGUGGAAGUGGUAUGCCCUAAUCACAAUAGCUGGUCUAGUCUUUUGGAUAUGAUUCUACCUUGUUGAUAUUGGAAGCUUUUGCUCCAUAGCAUCUCACUAUUUGUCACUUAAUUUUGCGUAUGCCCCUUGACAAUUGUUAUCUUUGGCUAUUAUGGAAACCUUACUUGCCAAAAAGAAAUCCUUUUUAACAGGAUUAUAUUUUAA
Cornus florida is the source of this 1262-nucleotide RNA transcript. RefSeq lists it as uncharacterized. NCBI's taxonomy places the organism in Eukaryota, Viridiplantae, Streptophyta, Magnoliopsida, Cornales, Cornaceae. The record is from RefSeq and is a predicted model, not a curated record. The transcript has 7 exons.